RNAcentral lists this transfer RNA (60 nucleotides) under Biomphalaria glabrata. It matches the Rfam family "tRNA", at positions 7 to 64 of the family's 71-position model. From Rfam's summary of the family: Transfer RNA (tRNA) molecules are approximately 80 nucleotides in length. Their secondary structure includes four short double-helical elements and three loops (D, anti-codon, and T loops). Lineage: Eukaryota; Metazoa; Mollusca; Gastropoda; Planorbidae. The record is from Rfam by way of RNAcentral.
AUGGCUUAGUGGUAAAGCGCUUGACUUCUGAAUCAAGAGGUUUUGAGUUUGAAUCUUGGU